This is a long non-coding RNA of Corapipo altera (White-ruffed manakin), 478 nucleotides long. RefSeq lists it as uncharacterized. NCBI's taxonomy places the organism in Eukaryota, Metazoa, Chordata, Aves, Passeriformes, Pipridae. The record is from RefSeq and is a predicted model, not a curated record. The transcript has 7 exons.
GUGGGAUUUGACCGGUGCCGUUCCCAGGCUCCGGGAGCGGGGAAUUCCCGCGGGACACGGAGCCGCUCGGGCCCCUGGGCUGGGACGACGGGAAUGUCCGCAGGCUCUUCGUCAGGAAGGUUUUCGCGCUCCUGCUGCUGCAGCUCCUGCUCACCACGGGGGUCGUGGCCCUGUUCACCUUCUGUGAUCCCGUCAAGGGCUACAUCCAGACCCACCCCGCCUGGUACUGGGCUUCCUACGCCGUUUUCUUCCUCACCUACCUGAUCCUGGCCUGCUGCUCCGGCCCCAGGAGACGCUUCCCGUGGAAUCUGAUCCUGCUCGGAAUCUUCACCCUCUCCCUGGCCUACCUCACUGCCAUGCUCUCCAGCUAUUACGACACCAAGGCGGUGCUGCUGUGCCUGGGAAUCACGGCCCUCGUGUGCCUGGGAAUCUCCAUCCUCAGCUUCCAGAGCAAGGUGGGAUCGGGAUCGGAAUUCCC